AUACGUAGGGGGCGAGCGUUGUCCGGAAUUACUGGGCGUAAAGGGUGCGUAGGCGGCCUUUUAAGUCAGAUGUGAAAGGCUGCGGCUUAACCGCAGGACUGCAUUUGAAACUGGAAGGCUUGAGUGUCGGAGAGGGUAGUGGAAUUCCCAGUGUAGCGGUGAAAUGCGUAGAUAUUGGGAGGAACACCAGUGGCGAAGGCGACUACCUGGACGAUAACUGACGCUGAGGCACGAAAGCUAGGGGAGCAAACAGGAUUAGAUACCCUGGUAGUCCACGCCGUAAACGAUGGAUACUAGGUGUAGGAGGUAUCGACCCCUUCUGUGCCGGAGUUAACACAAUAAGUAUCCCACCUGGGGAGUACGGCCGCAAGGUUGAA
RNAcentral lists this ribosomal RNA (377 nucleotides) under uncultured bacterium. RNAcentral describes it as "bacterial SSU rRNA". It matches the Rfam family "Bacterial small subunit ribosomal RNA", at positions 523 to 898 of the family's 1533-position model. The record is from RNAcentral.